This 1356-nucleotide ribosomal RNA is filed under the name uncultured bacterium. Its description in RNAcentral is "bacterial SSU rRNA". It matches the Rfam family "Bacterial small subunit ribosomal RNA", at positions 28 to 1387 of the family's 1533-position model. The record is from RNAcentral.
GAUGAACGCUGGCGGCGUGCUUAACACAUGCAAGUCGAACGAAGCACUUAUCUUUGAUUCUUCGGAUGAAGAGGUUUGUGACUGAGUGGCGGACGGGUGAGUAACGCGUGGGUAACCUGCCUCGUACAGGGGGAUAACAGUUAGAAAUGACUGCUAAUACCGCAUAAGACCACGGAGCCGCAUGGCUCAGUGGGAAAAACUCCGGUGGUAUGAGAUGGACCCGCGUCUGAUUAGGUAGUUGGUGGGGUAACGGCCUACCAAGCCAACGAUCAGUAGCCGACCUGAGAGGGUGACCGGCCACAUUGGGACUGAGACACGGCCCAAACUCCUACGGGAGGCAGCAGUGGGGAAUAUUGCACAAUGGGGGAAACCCUGAUGCAGCGACGCCGCGUGAGCGAAGAAGUAUUUCGGUAUGUAAAGCUCUAUCAGCAGGGAAGAAAAUGACGGUACCUGACUAAGAAGCACCGGCUAAAUACGUGCCAGCAGCCGCGGUAAUACGUAUGGUGCAAGCGUUAUCCGGAUUUACUGGGUGUAAAGGGAGCGUAGACGGCUGUGUAAGUCUGAAGUGAAAGCCCGGGGCUCAACCCCGGGACUGCUUUGGAAACUAUGCAGUUAGAGUGUCGGAGAGGUAAGUGGAAUUCCCAGUGUAGCGGUGAAAUGCGUAGAUAUUGGGAGGAACACCAGUGGCGAAGGCGGCUUACUGGACGAUGACUGACGUUGAGGCUCGAAAGCGUGGGGAGCAAACAAAAUUAGAUCCCCUGGUAGUCCCCGCCGUAAUCGAUCCUAAAAGGGUCGGGGAGCAAAGCUCUUCGUUGCCGCAGCAAACGCAAUAAGUAGUCCACCCGGGGAGGACGUUCGCAAGAAGGAAACUCAAAGGAAUUGACGGGGGGCCGCACAAGCGGUGGAGCAUGUGGUUUAAUUUGAAGCAACGCGAAGAACAUUACCUGCUCUUGACAUCCCGGUGACCGGCAUGUAAUGAUGCCUUUUUUUCGGAACACCGGUGACAGGUGGUGCAUGGUUGUCGUCAGCUCGUGUCGUGAGAUGUUGGGUUAAGUCCCGCAACGAGCGCAACCCUUAUCUUCAGUAGCCAGCAUUUUGGAUGGGCACUCUGGAGAGACUGCCAGGGAUAACCUGGAGGAAGGUGGGGAGGACGUCAAAUCAUCAUGCCCCUUAUGAGCAGGGCUACACACGUGCUACAAUGGCGUAAACAAAGGGAAGCAAACCUGCGAGGGUAAGCAAAUCUCAAAAAUAACGUCUCAGUUCGGAUUGUAGUCUGCAACUCGACUACAUGAAGCUGGAAUCGCUAGUAAUCGCGAAUCAGCAUGUCGCGGUGAAUAAAAUCCCGGGUCUUGCACA